GGAAGUGAAAGUCGUAACAAGGUUUCCGUAGGUGAACCUGCGGAAGGAUCAUUACAGAGUUCAUGCCCUCACGGGUAGAUCUCCCACCCUUGAAUAUUUAUACCUUAGUUGCUUUGGCAGGCCGUGGAAACACCAUGGGCUCCGGCUUAUGCGUGCCUGCCAGAGGAAACAAACUCUGUUUUUAGUGAUGUCUGAGUACUAUAUAAUAGUUGAAACUUUCAACAACGGAUCUCUUGGUUCUG
This 242-nucleotide unclassified non-coding RNA is filed under the name plant metagenome. RNAcentral's name for it is "partial contains small subunit ribosomal RNA, internal transcribed spacer 1, and 5.8S ribosomal RNA". The stretch from base 1 to 54 matches the Rfam family "Eukaryotic small subunit ribosomal RNA", at positions 1778 to 1831 of the family's 1831-position model. The record is from RNAcentral.